Non-coding RNA from Daphnia pulex (common water flea), 82 nucleotides. The record is from Rfam. NCBI's taxonomy places the organism in Eukaryota, Metazoa, Arthropoda, Branchiopoda, Diplostraca, Daphniidae.
GACGAGGUGACCGAGCGGUUAAGGUGAUGGACUGCUAAUCCAUUGUGCAUCGCACGCAUGGGUACGAAUCCCAUUCUCGUCG